UGGGGAAUAUUGGACAAUGGGCGAAAGCCUGAUCCAGCCAUGCCGCGUGUGUGAAGAAGGUCUUCGGAUUGUAAAGCACUUUAAGUCGGGAGGAAGGGCAGUAAGCGAAUACCUUGCUGUUUUGACGUUACCGACAGAAUAAGCACCGGCUAACUCUGUGCCAGCAGCCGCGGUAAUACAGGGGGUGCAAGCGUUAAUCGGAAUUACUGGGCGUAAAGCGCGCGUAGGUGGUUCGUUAAGUUGAAUGUGAAAGCCCCGGGCUCAACCUGGGAACUGCAUCCAAAACUGGCGAGCUAGAGUAGGGCAGAGGGUGAUGGAAUUUCCUGUGUAGCGGUGAAAUGCGUAGAUAUAGGAAGAAACACCAGUGGCGAAGGCGACCACCUGGGCUCAUACUGACACUGAGGUGCGAAAGCGUGGGGAGCAAACAGG
This 429-nucleotide ribosomal RNA is filed under the name Pseudomonadota bacterium. RNAcentral's name for it is "Proteobacteria bacterium partial 16S ribosomal RNA". It matches the Rfam family "Bacterial small subunit ribosomal RNA", at positions 355 to 776 of the family's 1533-position model. The record is from RNAcentral. Lineage: Bacteria; Pseudomonadati; Pseudomonadota.